CACGGGGGGAGCAAGCGUUGUUCGGAAUCACUGGGCGUAAAGGGCGUGUAGGCGGUUCGGUAAGUGGAAUGUGAAAUCCCUCGGCUCACCCGAGGACCUGCAUCCCAAACUGCCGAGCUUGAAUAUGGGAGAGGAUGAGGGAAUUCCUGGUGUAGCGGUGAAAUGCGCAGAUAUCGGGAGGAACACCUAUGGCGAAGGCAGCUCGCUGGGACGUUACUGACGCUGAGACGCGAAAGCGUGGGGAGCAAACAGG
This 253-nucleotide ribosomal RNA is filed under the name uncultured bacterium. RNAcentral's name for it is "partial 16S ribosomal RNA". It matches the Rfam family "Bacterial small subunit ribosomal RNA", at positions 524 to 776 of the family's 1533-position model. The record is from RNAcentral.